This 253-nucleotide ribosomal RNA is filed under the name uncultured bacterium. RNAcentral's name for it is "partial 16S ribosomal RNA". It matches the Rfam family "Bacterial small subunit ribosomal RNA", at positions 524 to 776 of the family's 1533-position model. The record is from RNAcentral.
UACAGAGGGCUCGAGCGUUGUUCGGAUUCAUUGGGCGUAAAGGGCGCGUAGGCGGCGGGGUAAGUCUGGUGUGAAAUCUCGGAGCUCAACUCCGAAAUUGCACUGGAUACUGCUCUGCUAGAGGGCUGGAGAGGAGAUCGGAAUUCACGGUGUAGCAGUGAAAUGCGUAGAUAUCGUGAGGAAGACCAGUGGCGAAGGCGGAUCUCUGGACAGCUCCUGACGCUGAGGCGCGAAGGCUAGGGGAGCAAACGGG